UAUGGUGGUUAUACCGGGGGUGUUCACCUCUUCCCUUUCCGAACAGAGAAGUUAAGUCCCCCAUGGCCGAUGGUACUGCAAAAAAAUGUGGGAGAGUAGGUAGCCGCCAUUC
RNAcentral lists this ribosomal RNA (112 nucleotides) under Limnovirga soli. Lineage: Bacteria; Pseudomonadati; Bacteroidota; Chitinophagia; Chitinophagales; Chitinophagaceae. The record is from RNAcentral.